GGACCAUGUAGCGCAGUGGUUGACGCGCCCUCCCCUCGGGAGGGAGGACGCCGGUUCGAGUCCGGCCUGGUCCG
RNAcentral lists this transfer RNA (74 nucleotides) under Saccharothrix carnea. RNAcentral describes it as "tRNA-Pro". It matches the Rfam family "tRNA". From Rfam's summary of the family: Transfer RNA (tRNA) molecules are approximately 80 nucleotides in length. Their secondary structure includes four short double-helical elements and three loops (D, anti-codon, and T loops). Further hydrogen bonds mediate the characteristic L-shaped molecular structure. tRNAs have two regions of fundamental functional importance: the anti-codon, which is responsible for specific mRNA codon recognition, and the 3' end, to which the tRNAs corresponding amino acid is attached (by aminoacyl-tRNA synthetases). tRNAs cope with the degeneracy of the genetic code in two manners: having more than one tRNA (with a specific anti-codon) for a particular amino acid; and 'wobble' base-pairing, i.e. permitting non-standard base-pairing at the 3rd anti-codon position. Lineage: Bacteria; Bacillati; Actinomycetota; Actinomycetes; Pseudonocardiales; Pseudonocardiaceae. The record is from RNAcentral. RNAcentral also lists the same sequence under 1 other name.